This 360-nucleotide ribosomal RNA is filed under the name uncultured bacterium. RNAcentral describes it as "bacterial SSU rRNA". It matches the Rfam family "Bacterial small subunit ribosomal RNA", at positions 129 to 524 of the family's 1533-position model. The record is from RNAcentral.
CCCUUUGGUACGGAAUANCUCAGGGAAACUUGAGCUAUACCGUAUGAUGUCGAGAGACCAAAGAUUUAUCGCCAGGGGAUGAGCCCGCGUCCGAUUAGCUUGUUGGUGGGGUAAUGGCCUACCAAGGCGACGAUCGGUAGCUGGUCUGAGAGGAUGAUCAACCACACUGGGACUGAGACACGGCCCAGACUCCUACGGGAGGCAGCAGUGGGGAAUAUUGGACAAUGGGCGAAAGCCUGAUCCAGCAAUGCCGCGUGAGUGAUGAAGGCCUUAGGGUUGUAAAGCUCUUUUACCCGGGAAGAUAAUGACUGUACCGGGAGAAUAAGCCCCGGCUAACUCCGUGCCAGCAGCCGCGGUAAU